CGUCCCCUCGGAGCAGUUCCCUGUCCUUCCCCCCCCCCCCCCGAGCAGUUCCCUGUCCUGAAGCGAUGGCAUAAAGGUUUCGCAGGAUGCUGUGUGCCGGAGAAAGAGAUUCUAUAAAGAAAAGCUGAUAGAAAUUUUAGAAGAAAAGGGAGAACCGAUCGAGAGAUCGGUUCUUUUAAGACUGGCAACUGAACGAAAUGACUUUUCGAAUGCCAACGAAACUCCAUGGAUCAGGCCCUGGAAGCGAUGCUGUUGAGAGGGACAGCUGAGCUUUGGUAAUGGACGACAAACGCCACGUACAACUCAUUGACAAAAACAUAUCUGUGAACAUUAAGAAAAGGAAACCCAAAGCGAGGAAGGGGAAAUGCCGCAGACUUAGGAGAGAAACGGAAGAAGGCUCCUCAUCAGAAACAAGGAAGCGAAAGAGAGGAAAGAGAAAAGGGAAGAAGCGCAAAAGAGGAAAGAAAAUAAGGAAAACGAAAGACCAAGGAGGAUCCAGCACCAGAGAAGACGAGGCGCACAGCCUUGUGAAACUGUAGCGGACUUACCUGGAGAGGAACCUGGAGAAAACUUGCAAGUUACCCCUUGCUGAAGGAAGCUACGCGGAAAUCACCUUUCUGAAAUCACCAACUAGUAUUUCAUCACCCUUCAAUCUAGUUUUAAGUUUUUCUUUUCAAUAUUCUUUAUAAGAUAAGACAGAGUCUUUUUAAUCUUUUUAAUCUUUUUACGAUAAGACAGUCUUAAUAUUCUUGUCAAAAUCCUUUGAGGAUCCUGGUGCUGGGUCCGCCUUGGUCUUCCGUUUUCUUUUUUUUUCUUUCCUCCUUUGCGCUUCCUUGUUUCUGAAAAAGAAACAAAAAAUUAAUAUUCACACAUUUUUUGUUUCUUCCUACUUUGUCUACGUGUCUUAAUUGCGGUUUCAUUGUUGCUGGAUUAUGAUCGUUAUCACUUGUUGGAUUGCUUAAGUAUCAUGAACCAUGUGGCAAU
This is a long non-coding RNA of Penaeus monodon (black tiger shrimp), 984 nucleotides long. RefSeq lists it as uncharacterized. NCBI's taxonomy places the organism in Eukaryota, Metazoa, Arthropoda, Malacostraca, Decapoda, Penaeidae. The transcript is spliced from 5 exons. The record is from RefSeq and is a predicted model, not a curated record.